GUAAAAAAUCAGAAUCACCCAAUUCCGUGUCUCCCCCCAUCUACCAAUGGGUCUUUUCUCUUUCUACCUUCCUCUGUUAAUACAAACAUUUCCAGUCACUUAGAUUUUUGAAGUUUUGAUCUCCAUCAUUUUGGAUUCCUCCAGGAUCACAGCUCAGUAUCCAGUUAGGCACUAAGGUUGCUCAGUGGUAAAGAAUCUGUCCGCCAAUGCAGGAGACCCAAGAAAAGCAGGUUGGAUCCCUGUGUUGGGAAGAUCCCAUGGAGUAGGAAAUGGCAACUCACUCCAGGAUUCUUGGCUGGAAAAUCCCAUGGACAGUGGAGUCUGGCGGGCUCACUGAGUCAGACAGGACUGAGCAUGGGCACGAAUUUCCUCCUUAAAGGUCCCACCUCCAAAUAUCACCACUCCAUCACAUUGGGCUCCAACUAACGAAUUUGGGGUAUUGGACGGGAAGGACACAUUCAGUUCAUGGUACCUUUUUUCAUUUUUCUAAAGUGUCUAUAAGUAUGUUGGAGUGUCACAGUUAUUUUACCAGAUCUCAUCUUCUAUAGUUUUGGGAGAAUUUACUAUGAAGGAAGACCACGUAGGCAGAGUUGAAGCUUAAGGCAGGAACCUCCCGCUGGUCAGCCACAAGGUCCAGUGGGGGAGGGGAGGGAAGGCAGGACAGUCACGACAAAAAACACUGCCUAAUGUUCUGUCAUUUUAAGCUCUGACUGUUCAGCAUGAGGUUUCACAAAGCCCUCAGCCCUUCUCCCCAAGUGUUACACACACUCCAGUGGUGUUUAUUUAAAUUAUCUUAAGGUGAAUUUAAAUUGUUUUUACUUUGAGAGUGAAUUCUACAGACACUUGAAAGAAUUAAGGACAUUCUUAGCAGCAAAAUUAAACAAAA
Long non-coding RNA from Bos taurus (domestic cattle), 886 nucleotides. The record is from Ensembl. Lineage: Eukaryota; Metazoa; Chordata; Mammalia; Artiodactyla; Bovidae.